CGUACACUCCUACGGGAGGCAGCAGUGGGGAAUAUUGGACAAUGGGCGCAAGCCUGAUCCAGACAUGCAGCGUGAGUGAUGAAGGCCAUAGGGAUGUAAAGCUCUUUCACCGGUGAAGAUAAUGACGGUAACCGGAGAAGAAGCCCCGGCUAACUUCGUGCCAGCAGCCGAGGUAAUACGAAGGGGGCUAGCGUUGUUCGGAUUUACUGGGCGUAAAGCGCACGUAGGCGGACUAUUAAGUCAGGGGUGAAAUCCCGGGGCUCAACCCCGGAGCUGCCUUUGAUACUGGUAGUCUUGAGUUCGAGAGAGGUGAGUGGAAUUCCGAGUUUAGAGGUGAAAUUCGUAGAUAUUCGGAGGAACACCAGUGGCGUAGGCGGCUCACUGGCUCGAUACUGACGCUGAGGUGCGAAAGCGUGGGGAGCAAACAGGAUUAGAAACCCUUGUAGUCCCA
RNAcentral lists this ribosomal RNA (451 nucleotides) under uncultured organism. RNAcentral's name for it is "partial 16S ribosomal RNA". It matches the Rfam family "Bacterial small subunit ribosomal RNA", at positions 330 to 797 of the family's 1533-position model. The record is from RNAcentral.